This 743-nucleotide ribosomal RNA is filed under the name uncultured bacterium. Its description in RNAcentral is "bacterial SSU rRNA". It matches the Rfam family "Bacterial small subunit ribosomal RNA", at positions 8 to 796 of the family's 1533-position model. The record is from RNAcentral.
AGAGUUUGAUCCUGGCUCAGAACGAACGCUGGCGGCAGGCCUAACACAUGCAAGUCGAACGCCCGUAGCAAUACGGGAGUGGCAGACGGGUGAGUAACACGUGGGAACGUACCCUAAGGUACGGAACAACUCCGGGAAACUGGAGCUAAUACCGUAUGUGCCCGAAAGGGGAAAGAUUUAUCGCCUUGGGAUCGGCCCGCGUCUGAUUAGCUAGUUGGUGGGGUAAUGGCCCACCAAGGCGACGAUCAGUAGCUGGUCUGAGAGGAUGAUCAGCCACACUGGGACUGAGACACGGCCCAGACUCCUACGGGAGGCAGCAGUGGGGAAUAUUGGACAAUGGGCGCAAGCCUGAUCCAGCCAUGCCGCGUGAGUGAUGAAGGCCUUAGGGUUGUAAAGCUCUUUCGGCGGGGACGAUAAUGACGGUACCCGCAGAAGAAGCCCCGGCUAACUUCGUGCCAGUAGCCGCGGUAAUACGAAGGGGGCUAGCGUUGUUCGGAAUCACUGGGCGUAAAGCGCAUGCAGGCGGAUCGUUAAGUCGGGGGUGAAAUCCCGAGGCUCAACCUCGGAACUGCCUUCGAUACUGGCGAUCUGGAGUCCGGGAGAGGUGAGUGGAACUGCGAGUGUAGAGGUGAAAUUCGUAGAUAUUCGCAAGAACACCAGUGGCGAAAGCGGCUCACUGGCCCGGUACUGACGCUGAGAUGCGAAAGCGUGGGAGCAAACAGGAUUAGAUACCCUGGUAGUCC